UACGUAGGGUGCGAGCGUUGUCCGGAAUUAUUGGGCGUAAAGAGCUCGUAGGCGGUUUGUCACGUCGGCCGUGAAAACUGGAGGCUUAACCUCCAGCUUGCGGUCGAUACGGGCAGACUUGAGUUCGGUAGGGGAGACUGGAAUUCCUGGUGUAGCGGUGGAAUGCGCAGAUAUCAGGAGGAACACCGGUGGCGAAGGCGGGUCUCUGGGCCGAUACUGACGCUGAGGAGCGAAAGCGUGGGGAGCGAAC
This 250-nucleotide ribosomal RNA is filed under the name uncultured bacterium. Its description in RNAcentral is "partial 16S ribosomal RNA". It matches the Rfam family "Bacterial small subunit ribosomal RNA", at positions 524 to 773 of the family's 1533-position model. The record is from RNAcentral.